RNAcentral lists this long non-coding RNA (1134 nucleotides) under Equus asinus (donkey). RNAcentral's name for it is "lncRNA (ENSEASG00005029567.1)". Lineage: Eukaryota; Metazoa; Chordata; Mammalia; Perissodactyla; Equidae. The record is from RNAcentral.
GCCAGCAGCUGUGAGCUCAUGAGACAGACGCUGCUAACACAGUCUUGGGGGGCAGGUCCCUGCUGCCGCCUGCCCUCCUGCACCACUCGGGGCCCACCUGGGUCCAGGUGGCUAGGGGUGUAAAUGGGGGACGGUGCAGAGGACCAGGCAGACCCUCCCAAGGAGAUCACCACCCAUACUGUGUGACCUUAGGCUUCAGUGUUCUCAUGGGGCAAUGGGCCUCAAGGACCCUGCCAGCUCUCUCAGGCUCCGAGCCACCAAGGCAUAUCCCCUACACCCAGCCUCACUCCUGCACAGAUGCCACUCUGCAGCGCUCCACCCCACUCACCCAGCCUCCUGGCUUCCUACGGAAGAUGCAGCACAUGCCUGUCCCGUGAUGGCAUCUGGACAUGCCAGGAAGAGUGGGCAUGGAGAGCGCACCACAGGCCUCUGGAACUGCAGCUCUCGUUGAGGACAAAAGAACAACCUUCUGAGCGCUGGGCGGGGCGCCUGCAGGAGGCGGGGCACUGAGGUGGGACCUGGGCUGGUGGGGCCGGGGCUGCCUCCUUCCCUUGUCCACUGAGGUCCCAUCUCCCUGCCAGAGGCUCCGGGCUUAAUUAAGCUGCCACUACCACUUGCAAUGUCACUUCUGAUAGACUCCAAGAGGGACCAAGGGACGAAGGUCACAGGAACCACAGCUCCCUGAAACAGGCUGCCCCUGAUGUCAGCGGCCUCCUAGGGUCUUUAAUGCCAGCCAGCUGCCCUUCGAAUGCCCGGCCCAGCCCCUGUCCCGCCUCACACCGAGAAGGGGGGCACUGUUUACAGCCCCUGCUUAAUUAAAUCAAUAAACCACCAAUGCAAAUCUGGCCGAGGGCCAGCUCUUUAGGGCGCUCGAGGCUGAGGAGAGGACUGAGUUAACAGCUGCUGCAAGAGAACGAGAAGAGGAGAGAAGGAGAGACAGGAGGAACAGAGGGAGAAGAGAACAGCCAGCCUGGGCGGGGGCUCCGAAGCAGGUCGAGUGUCGCAGCCCCCAGACCCCCUCUCUGGACCACAUCACAACCUAUAUCUGCAGCCCCCCUAGCGUCCUGUGCCCACCUUCAGGCUCUCCUUCUUCCUUCAGGACUCCUUCUGACUUCAGGAAAGGUUCUCCUAUCA